GAAGUGUUCGGAUUGCGGCGACGUGGGCGGUUCGCUGCCCGCGACGUUGUGAGAAGUCCACUGAACCUUAUCAUUUAGAGGAAGGAGAAGUCGUAACAAGGUUUUCCGUAGGUGAACCUGCGGAAGGAUCAUU
Molecule: ribosomal RNA, 133 nt
Filed under: Astragalus capito
Lineage: Eukaryota; Viridiplantae; Streptophyta; Magnoliopsida; Fabales; Fabaceae
Description: partial 18S ribosomal RNA
Rfam family: Eukaryotic small subunit ribosomal RNA
Source: RNAcentral